Molecule: ribosomal RNA, 108 nt
Filed under: Staphylococcus devriesei
Lineage: Bacteria; Bacillati; Bacillota; Bacilli; Caryophanales; Staphylococcaceae
Description: partial 16S ribosomal RNA
Rfam family: Bacterial small subunit ribosomal RNA
Source: RNAcentral
UUUAUGGAGAGUUUGAUCCUGGCUCAGGAUGAACGCUGGCGGCGUGCCUAAUACAUGCAAGUCGAGCGAACAGAUGAGGAGCUUGCUCCUUUGACGUUAGCGGCGGAC